This 264-nucleotide ribosomal RNA is filed under the name uncultured bacterium. Its description in RNAcentral is "partial 16S ribosomal RNA". It matches the Rfam family "Bacterial small subunit ribosomal RNA", at positions 102 to 353 of the family's 1533-position model. The record is from RNAcentral.
ACGGGUGAGUAACACUGGGUAACCUGCCCUUAAUGGGGGAGUAACAAUUUGGAAACAGAUGCUAAUACCGCAUAAAAUCCAAAAAACCGACCAUGGUUCUUGGCUGAAAGAUGGCGUAAGCUAUCGCUUUUGGAUGGACCCGCGGCGUAUUAGCUAGUUGGUGAGGUAACGGCUCACCAAGGCAAUGAUACGUAGCCGAACUGAGAGGUUGAUCGGCCACAUUGGGACUGAGACACGGCCCAAACUCCUACGGGAGGCAGCAUG